Molecule: ribosomal RNA, 253 nt
Filed under: uncultured bacterium
Lineage: Bacteria
Description: partial 16S ribosomal RNA
Rfam family: Bacterial small subunit ribosomal RNA
Source: RNAcentral
UACGGAGGAUCCAAGCGUUAUCCGGAUUUAUUGGGUUUAAAGGGUGCGUAGGCGGCUUAUUAAGUCAGGGGUGAAAGACGGUGGCUCAACCAUCGCAGUGCCCUUGAUACUGAUGAGCUUGAAUACACUUGAGGUAGGCGGAAUGUGACAAGUAGCGGUGAAAUGCAUAGAUAUGUCACAGAACACCAAUUGCGAAGGCAGCUUACUAAGGUGCAAUUGACGCUAAGGCACGAAAGCGUGGGGAUCAAACAGG